GGUGAGUUUGGGGAAACUCAGUGUGUAAGGAAAACCCAUUCAAAGCCCAAGUCAGCUCAAGCCCAUUGGGCCUAAGCCCAUUCAGGUAACAGUGGUACUGGGCCAGAGCCCUUUUCAGAUUACAAUAAACUGGGCCUUAGCCCCUUAUUCAGAUAACAGUAUGGCCUAUAGGCCCAUUUCAAAAUACAUGCAACAUCAGUAAACAUAUGCAAGCCCAUUU
This 220-nucleotide long non-coding RNA is filed under the name Gossypium barbadense (sea-island cotton). RNAcentral describes it as "long non-coding RNA (GBAR_LNC011724)". Lineage: Eukaryota; Viridiplantae; Streptophyta; Magnoliopsida; Malvales; Malvaceae. The record is from RNAcentral.